Long non-coding RNA from Thalassophryne amazonica, 187 nucleotides. RefSeq lists it as uncharacterized. The transcript is spliced from 3 exons. Lineage: Eukaryota; Metazoa; Chordata; Actinopteri; Batrachoidiformes; Batrachoididae. The record is from RefSeq and is a predicted model, not a curated record.
UGUGUGUGUGUGUGUGCAUGUGAGUAACCAGAUCCACAAAUGUGUAAAAACAAAUCUGUGUGUGUGUAACCUUGUGUCUGUGAACAUCGGGCCACUUGAAUGGAUGUGUUCUUACACAUGACUUUUGCUACACUUCUGCCGUGGAAGAUCCACAAAUGCGUGCAGCGAUUUCUCUGUGAGUGCAGCU